This 500-nucleotide ribosomal RNA is filed under the name uncultured bacterium. RNAcentral's name for it is "partial 16S ribosomal RNA". It matches the Rfam family "Bacterial small subunit ribosomal RNA", at positions 30 to 523 of the family's 1533-position model. The record is from RNAcentral.
AUUGAACGCUGGCGGCAUGCUUUACACAUGCAAGUCGAACGGUAACAGGGUGCUUGCACCGCUGACGAGUGGCGAACGGGUGAGUAAUGCGUCGGAACGUGCCGAGUAGUGGGGGAUAACGCAGCGAAAGUUGUGCUAAUACCGCAUACGUACUGAGGUAGAAAGUGGGGAACCUUCGGGCCUCACGCUAUUCGAGCGGCCGACGUCUGAUUAGCUAGUAGGUGAGGUAAAGGCUCACCUAGGCGACGAUCAGUAGCGGGUCUGAGAGGAUGAUCCGCCACACUGGGACUGAGACACGGCCCAGACUCCUACGGGAGGCAGCAGUGGGGAAUUUUGGACAAUGGGCGAAAGCCUGAUUCAGCCAUGCCGCGUGUCUGAAGAAGGCCUUCGGGUUGUAAAGGACUUUUGUCAGGGAGGAAAUCCCUAGUGCUAAUAACACUGGGGGAUGACAGUACCUGAAGAAUAAGCACCGGCUAACUGCGUGCCAGCCGCCGCGGUAA